This 2482-nucleotide long non-coding RNA is filed under the name Cricetulus griseus (Chinese hamster). RNAcentral describes it as "lncRNA (ENSCGRG00000024979.1)". The record is from RNAcentral. Lineage: Eukaryota; Metazoa; Chordata; Mammalia; Rodentia; Cricetidae.
GUCCCGGAUAGCCGCUUCCCUUUCCUAGGAGUUCACUUUACACCGAAGCUGGAUGGCACCAUUUGGCUAGGGCCUAAUGCCGUGCUCGCCUUUAAGCGGGAAGGUUACAGACCCUUCGACUUCAAUGCCAGAGAUGUCAUGGAGAUAAUUCUCAAGAGUGGUUUCUUUAAGCUGGUGCUUCACAACUUCUCCUAUGGAGCAAAUGAAAUGUAUAAAGCCUGUUUCCUCAGUGAAACAGUGAAGCAUCUUCAAAAGUUCAUUCCAGAAAUCACCACCAGCGAUGUGCUUCGAACUCUUCAUUGGAACCUUGUGAGUUCACCAGUGGGCACACAACUGAAAGCCAUGACUCCUCUUCUUCCAGAAUGCAGUCACCACGAGUUCAGCAGAGAGCAGUCGGGUCCACUUAGAGGCCCAGCUGGGGUACGAGCCCAGGCCAUGGACAGAAAUGGGAAUCUGAUAGACGAUUUCGUGUUUGAUGGAGGAACUGGGGAUAUUGGUGAACGUGUUCUUCAUGUGAGAAAUGCACCUUCUCCGGCUGCUACUUCUUCCCUGGCAAUUUCUAGAAUGAUUGCAGAUGAAGUGCAGCAAAGAUUUAAGUUAUGAACAAUGAAAGGAGCUGUGCUGGUGUCAUAUUCCCUACACAAGCAACAAGAACCUACCAGUUGUAUUUUUAAAUUAUAACUUAAGGACGUUAUUUUAAAACCAUACUUUUUAGGCUGUAAGAACCAUUGACUUAUUAACAGGAUGUAACAAUUAAUUUUAAAACUUCAGGUCCAUAUUCUUAUGAGCAAAGAAGCAAAAUGGGUCUGUACCAGUUGUGAAACCUGGACUUUGUUAGAGAUUUACCCAACCCAUUGUGACUUAGGAAAGGCUCUUAUAGAACAUUUGGGAAGUCAGCAUAAGAAAUGGAUUGUUCUCUAAAUCAGUGUUUGGCUUUAUGAUAUUUAUUUAUUUUUCUUUCCUGGAAAAACUAUGUCACAGUGUAUUGUAGGGCAUGACAUUCUUUUAAUAUGAAGAGUCAGGAAAGCUUACAUUAUUUUUCAAUGGUUUUACCUAGAAACUGAAAGUGCUUGAUUUCAAAAAAAUACAUGAAAUUUUGUAUUUCUAAGUAGCGUAAAACAAACUCAAUUCUUUACUCUCAGUCUCUUUGUAAGUGUCUCUAACGUGUGGUAUGGCAGCAUCACUCCAUCUGAAUAGCAGCAUACCUGUGUGCUUGUUGCCUACAUUACAGUUUCCUGUGGCCAGGAAAUGAAAGUCCCUAAAAGGGCCAUUUUUUUAGUAAGAGCAGUUUAAAAUCCUGACACUGAGUGUAGCACUGUGUAAUUUUAACCAAUUAUUUAUAUCACACCCCUGUCCUUUGGUCACACUAAAGUUCCCAAGAUGUUGGCCAGGAUUACUGAUGAUUCAUACCUACUUGGGUUUUCAGAAUUCCUAUAAACUUUUCGAGGACAUUUCUCCACUUUUAUUUAAUAUCUAACUUGGAGGCAUUCACUUUUGUAAACCGCGAAAGUGCCUUACAUUUUUCCUACAUACUUCAUGAACAUGUUGAGUUGGUGCCAAGUGCCAUACUGUAUACUGUGUGUGUGUGUGUGUGUGUGUGUGUGUGUGUGUGUGUGUUAGCUGAUGAAAUGUGUCUUACAAUUCAGAAAGUUGGAAUAUAAAAAUGUAAGUGAAAAACUGGCAACCUGGCCAUGGGAAUGGAGCCAGCCCUUAGGUGAGACUCUUCAUCCCUUCUCUCAGAUGUGUUCUCUCAGGGUUAAUCUUUCAUUUUCCUCACCAACACUGUGAUGGAUGCUUGAGAGGGAUGUGUGUGUUGAUAGGAAAAUCUUUUCUUGUUUUUUAUUUUUUCUUCACAUCAGCCCUUGGUGGUUACAUUUAUUAAGCUAUCCCAUCCAUUAAUUUGAAAUGACACAUGCUAUGAUCUUCAGUUCAAGAGGCAGCGCCUCCCAGGUAAAUAGAUGAGGCAGUUAUUCAACACUUGGGAUGGGCAUAUUGAAACAUUCAGAGAUCACUUACAGAGGAAACUAACCCUAAUGGCUCUCCAUAGCAACAGAUUCCUACAAGAAAUGCACUGCAUGGAGUCCUUCUCUGUUCUAAGACUUCUAAGUGAUACAAACAUUGCAUGAAAAUUAUUUUACUUUGUGAGUAAGAUGACAAUAUUUUCCUUUUAGUUAUGGUGAAAAGUGGGCAGUGGCUCUCUGUGUCAUCCUCUGUGAGAUCUUGUACACACGCACUAAGCUGUGAAAGACUAAAAUUACAAAAUCAACUGUCAUGAUUGAAGCAAUCCUUAUUCCAUUUGGGUCUGUGUUGUAUGCUCCAAAAUAAUAGAGAAAAUUUUGUUGAAGUAUGUCAGUUGCUGUGUUUGUAAAAUAUUUGAUAUUUAUGUCACUAAGAUGUUUGUUAAAUGCUGAUAUAAGCAUUUUGUGUCUUCCUGAGAAAAGAAAAAAUGUAUAUUAGUAUUAAAAUAUUUUAAUGAUCCUUG